RNAcentral lists this ribosomal RNA (450 nucleotides) under uncultured bacterium. Its description in RNAcentral is "bacterial SSU rRNA". It matches the Rfam family "Bacterial small subunit ribosomal RNA", at positions 28 to 507 of the family's 1533-position model. The record is from RNAcentral.
GACGAACGCUGGCGGCGUGCCUAAAACAUGCAAGUCGAACGAGGCCUUCGGGUCUAGUGGCGAACGGCGGAGUAAUACGUGAACAACGUGCCCCUAAGUCUGGGACAAACGCAGAAAUGCCAUAAAUACCAGAUGUGGUCGGAGAAGGACAUCCUUUUUCCAAUUAAAGGCUUUUCGCUUAGGGAGCGGUUCACGGCCUAUCAGCUAGUUGGUGGGGUAAAGGCCUACCAAGGCGACGACGGGUAGGGGGUCUGAGAGGAUGAUCCCCCCGAGUGGGACUGAGACACGGCCCACACACCUACGGGUGGCAGCAGUUGGGAAUCUUGCACAAUGGGGGAAACCCUGAUGCAGCGACGCCGCGUGGAGGAUGACGGAUUUAGGUCUGUAAACUCCUUUUGCAGGGAAAGACUUAGGACGGUACCCUGAGAAUAAGGACCGGCUAACUACGUG